Ictalurus punctatus (channel catfish) is the source of this 835-nucleotide long non-coding RNA. Lineage: Eukaryota; Metazoa; Chordata; Actinopteri; Siluriformes; Ictaluridae. The record is from Ensembl.
GCCAUUUUGAAGUCAAUCGAUAAGGAAUAUUCACAAGUGAACUGAAUUUAUAAUGGAUAAUACAUGAAGCACAUCUGCUGGUACUUUUAAAUGACACAGCAACAGUCCGUGGGUAUUUACUGAUGUAUUGUGUUUUGGACUAAAUGUUUUUAUUUGAUUGGAUCAUCUGGACCUUUGCUAGUGUAACGAGACUGUUGUUGUCGGGAUGUUAUGGAUCAGUGGACUACUAUGAGGCUCCAUAGGCCUUCAGUAUCUGAAGCCAUAAAGUUGGUGGACUGCUUGAGCAUGCUGCGUCUCUAACAGCCAGUGAUUCCUCUUCAAUGACACUUUAAAAUGUUCUGAGACCACACUAUGCGGUCUCACACAGAGGCCUUCUCUGAUCGCAUUUUGGGACGUCUCAAACUGUGGGGAUCUCGUGUGGUGGAACGGUACGAAUAAACCUGGACCCUUGCUUCUUCUCACUCACGGCUGGUGUCUUAUUUUUCUUUCUCCAAUUGAGUAUGUGAGUAUCUGUUUCUAUGUUAAGUGUCUUCAGGUAAUAGGCAAAAUUUAGAAAGGGUAACAAUGGAUAGUGUCAAAGCAAAGGAAAGUUCAUUAUGGUUUUUAUAUGAAGUUUAUUUGUUGAACUAGUCCACUGUUCAAAGGAGACCCAAAUGCAAAACUGCAUGUGGUAAUUGCAGUCCCAGGGCCAUAAUAGCAAUCGUAGUCCCAGCAACCACAGUGAGAAUGUCCAACACACAUGUUACUAACAUUUGUGUUGAAUUAUUUUAAAAUAGAAUUUUGAGUUAUUGCUUUGAAUACAUAAUUUAUGCUGUCAGUAUGCAUAUGUAAUUUA